CCUCGUCCUGACCUUCACAAACGAGCAGAGCCGCCAGAGACAGCGAGAUCUGGGCGGAACUGCGCAUGAAGCCCCGAGACAUCAGCCAUCGGGCAGCAGAACCAGCAUCGGCCGACACCUCAUGCCGCACGAGAGACCGAAGGAGCCGUGACCAGCCCGCCGCGCGCCUUGGGCCAGGCCCCCCGUCCAGAUCCGGGGCAGAGGAGAGCAUGCCGGCGCCGCGACCGAUCUGAGCCGCCCCGCACUCCGUGCACGCCCCGCACCUCCAGGCCGCCCACCUCCGCAGCCAACACCCCCGCCAAGCCGCCGCCGAGCACCCGCAGCAAGCGCGGAGAAGCGCCGUGCCGGCCGCCAGAACACGAGCCCCCGCCCGUGUAAAGCAGCCCGGGUCGCCAGGUCCCCGCCGCCGCCGGAUCCGUAGGGGCUUCGCCCGGAGGAGUCCGUCUGGCGGCGGCGAGGGGAGGGGAAGCUGGAGAGAGGGGGCCUGCUGCGGCGGGAGGAGCGGCGCCGCCCGAGUCGCCCUGGGGGAGGACGACGCGGGGGCCGGCUGGUGUGCAAAAUGUGUUCUUGUAUGCACAAAGAAACACUCAUGGAGAGAAACUUAUUUUUUCUUCCCAGAAUACUAUCGAGACACCAUACUCCAUCUUAUUUAUUGAUGAUUUUCAGGGGUUCUCAUGCUUGUUUAUUCUGGAUUUCUCUGUCAGAACUGCUUGUGUGUCCAUCUGCGACAAUGGCUUCUGGUCAGUUUAUCUAUUUCUUUCUUUCCUUGCAGUGGCGGAGCUACAAAGAAAAGCCUGAGCAGGCCAAUCUAAAAAAUAUGAAAAAAUCAACCCAAGGAAAGGAUGAUGAGCUGCUGCUGAAAAGUCUUCCUCAACUCCAUCCGUAACCUGUUUGCGUGGCUCGUGCCCUAGCAUCGAGGGCGACCGAGGCUGGAUGCAAGGAGAGAAGCUUGACGAGGCGAGACAGCAUGCGAGCGAGGCUGUCGUGGGCUGGCCUGCGCGUAUAUAGUUAAUUUUUACCUCAGCGGCUGGGCGGGCCAUGGCACGCUUUUGCCCUCGCGAAGCUCCACCGGUGCUUCCUUGCUCCCUAGUGUUGUUCAUUAUACUGUAUCUUAGGAACCUUAAUUACUUAUUUCUUUCUACUGCAAGGUAUUUGGUCAGUUUCAACCUGGACCGCGUAUCUUGGAGUGACAACCCACAUUCAGCUGUUAUAUCUCGAAAUGGCUCACAUGGCAAGUUGGAUUCCAUUCCUGUGCAGGUUGGCACUCAGCUGGGGAUUGAAGUUUUUAGCAGGAAUUACUUGGCUUCGAAUAACUACCUGGAAGCAUUAGUGGUGCAGUGUUGGAGAUUAAAUCCAGCUAGUACUAUAGUAUACUUGAAAUAAAAAAAAUGCUUAUAGCGCUUUCUAUAUAUGUUGUGAUACAAAUAUUUGUUUUCAGAAAUCAGACUAGAUUGUUGGAAGUUUGUAUUUU
Molecule: long non-coding RNA, 1471 nt
Organism: Triticum dicoccoides
Lineage: Eukaryota; Viridiplantae; Streptophyta; Magnoliopsida; Poales; Poaceae
Exons: 3
Source: RefSeq, a predicted model, not a curated record